UACAGAGGUCCCAAGCGUUGUUCGGAUUCACUGGGCGUAAAGGGUGCGUAGGUGGCAUGGUAAGUUUGAUGUGAAAGCUUAGGGCUUAACCCUGAAAUGGCAUUGAAUACUACUGUGCUGGAGGUUUGGAGGGGGGACUGGAAUUCUUGGUGUAGCAGUGAAAUGCGUAGAUAUCAAGAGGAACACCAGUGGCGAAGGCGAGUCCCUGGACAACACCUGACACUGAGGCACGAAAGCUAGGGGAGCAAACAGG
This 253-nucleotide ribosomal RNA is filed under the name uncultured bacterium. RNAcentral's name for it is "partial 16S ribosomal RNA". It matches the Rfam family "Bacterial small subunit ribosomal RNA", at positions 524 to 776 of the family's 1533-position model. The record is from RNAcentral.